AUGAUAUUCCUUCCAAAUCUCUUGCACCAAAAGUGAUGUCUUUAAUUUCAUCACUAGAUUCUCUUGGGGUAUGAGCAUGUUGGCGGGCAUACUGCUUCUGCCCACUACUUGUGUCUCCACCGGAUGCUAUGCCCCAACGAUAGUAUUAAUGGUUCCGACAGUGGGUUGAGCACUGCUUCCAUCCCCAGGCUCUUUUCGAUUGUCCCGGUCAUUCCUUGGCCGUUUAUCAUGACCAAUGUAAUUCUUUAAAAAUCCUCUUUUGAUAAGGGCUUCAAUUUCUCGCUGUAAAGCAUGACAGUCCUCUGUAGUAUGCCCAUGAUCCCGGUGAAAUUCGCAAUACUUGCUCAUAUCUCUUGUGUCAGGGGGCGACUUCAUCCUUGAAGGUCACUUUAAUUCUUUAAUAUCCUUAACCUCCAUCAAAAUAUUUGUCAUAGAAGUGUUCAAUCGAGUGAGAGGUGCUGAUGGCGCCUCGUUCCUGCGCUUAUCCCGAGGAACCUCAUGCCUGGGGACGGGAUCAUGUUGCCUUUUGUUCUCGGUCUUUUCAUGAGAAGGACCAGGUCUCCUUGGAUUUAGUGUUUCCUCCAUAUUGAUGUAUUUUUCAGCUCGGGUGAGGAGCUCGGUUACUGUCUGCGACGGGGUCUUUGAUAAAGACAUCUCGAAACCUUCACAUCUUACGGCGUAAGUGAGGGCAGAGACAGCUGCUGUGAUGUGGAGGUCGGGUAUUUGAAGCCUUUCCUUGUUGAACCUUGUUAUAAAUCCUCGCAGGGUUUCGGUUGGUCCCUGGCGAAGUUGCAUGAGAGAGGCCGCGGUCUUCCUAAUUCGCUUGCUACUUGCAAAGAAGGCUGAGAAAUUAUCAGCCAAAUUUGAGAAUGAGGCUAUGGAGUUGGGCUCCAAUGUCGAGAACCAAUCCCUAGCAGCAUUAGUCAGCGUUUGUGGAAAGGCUUUGCACAUAACCUGAUCCGGCGCAACUUGCAAGUUCAUGACAUCAGUGUAUACAUUGAGAUGGUUGAUGGGGUCGGUCGUCCCAUCAUACUCUUUAAUGCGAGGAUACUUGAAUUUGUCGGGCAAGGGAUAUGUCAAUAUCUCUGGUGUGAAUGGAGUGUUAAGGGUGAAGCUGUUGACCCUCGAGCAUUACGUUGCAGGCCAGUUGUAAUUCCUUCUUGAAUGAUCCGGGCAAUUUCACCGGAAUCCAUGGCGACCGAUCUCGAGCCCGAGGCCAUAUUAUGAAUGCCCGAUGUUCCAACUCUGCCAUUUGUUGGGUUUGGUGGUCAUGCUCGAGCAUCGGCCAUAAAACCGCCAUGCUCCGCCUGUGCUGGCGACGGUGUGAAUUUCUUUGACUUAACAGUUGCGUGAGCGUGGCCACCUACUGACGAAGCUCUUCAAAGGCUUCAGUUGUAAUGACUGUUGGCAGAGGUGUGGGCACUCCCGAGGAUUCUUCAUGAGGAGCCGGUUGAUCUUUGGCAGGAUGAGAGAUGGGAGGGGAUGAGCUUGUAGGAGGAAGACCUGAUCGCGUGUUAACCAUGGCUUUUGGUAGCGUUUUUCACAGACGGCGUCAAUGAUGCUACCAAAAUUCGUACCUGCAGAUUUCCCGAGCUUGAUGAUUCGGGUUGAUCAUGAUCGUAAUCUUCCGGUACCUGAAAGAAAG
This 1645-nucleotide long non-coding RNA is filed under the name Olea europaea subsp. europaea. The record is from RNAcentral. Lineage: Eukaryota; Viridiplantae; Streptophyta; Magnoliopsida; Lamiales; Oleaceae.